Molecule: long non-coding RNA, 1617 nt
Filed under: Homo sapiens (human)
Lineage: Eukaryota; Metazoa; Chordata; Mammalia; Primates; Hominidae
Description: HSALNT0192962
Source: RNAcentral
UAGCAAGCAAUUUUCCUUUGCUCUUCCAGAAGUGCUGCAAUGUAAACGACUAGACAGCUUUAUCACUAACCCAAUUCUUCUGUAUAUUUUUAUCACUUUGAAUAUUGCAUUUUAAAGUACAUCAUCUUAGUCUGGUCUGGGGAUGCUAUAAAACCUUUAUCACACACAUAGGCAUGUCACCUAUAGAUACACCAUAAGUGGCUUAAGCAACAUUUAUUUAUUUCUCACAGUUAUGGAGUCUGGGAAGUCCGAGAUGAAGCUGCCUGCAGAUCCAGCGUCUGGUGUGGGUCCCCUUUCUGGUUUGUAGAUGAUAAUGACCACGUGGCAGAGAGCAGAGAGGGAGUAGCUCUCUUUCCCUUGUUAUGUGGACACUAAUCUCAUCAAAGGGGUUCCACCCUCACAAACAAUUUACUUCUAAAAGGUCCCACUUCCCAGUGCUAUCACAUUAGAACUUCAGCAUAUAAAUUUGGAGGAAACACAAGCAUUCAUUCCAUGGUACACCCCUUCUGCUUGUGGAACCAAGGAACCCACCCAGAGAUUGAGUCUUCUGAGAAUGACAUCAGAGAAAGACUGCCCUUGCCACCCACACUGCAACAAAACUUUGGGAUCUUGGAUCUUGGGUUAAUAAUCUCGCAAUUCAGAAGGACUUCUCCAGACUCUUAGAUGUGAACCUUCACUGGAGACCUUAAGAUGAUGUCAGCUGAAAAGACUUGAAGACUGCAGAUGAAUCAAAGGCAGGAGUGUCUCCAUGGCUGGGGAAAGAAAUCAUCUGAAGUCAUCUUCAUUCACAUGUUUAGCUGUUGAUACUGCCUGUUGUCAGGACUCUCAGCUGGGGCUGUCCCAUGGAAACUUAUGUAUGGCCUCUCCAUGUAGCCUGGGUUGCCUCACAGCAUGACGGCCUUGGACAUCUUACCUGGUGCUCAGGGCUCCAAAGGCAAGUAGUCCAAAAGAACCAGGUGAAAGCUGUAUCACCUUUUGUAACCUAGCUUCAGAAUCAGAUAGCAUCACUUCUACCAUACCCAGCGUCACCCAGCAACAAGAGGAGGAACAUAGAUAUCACUUCUUGACAGGAGGGAUGUAUGUCACUGAGAUUAUGGGCUGGUGCUGUAUGCUUUUGGAUAGUAGAUGGAGGAAAACAAGAAAAAGUGGUCAUGGUGCAAUAGUCAUCUGAUACUUUCAACAUUUACCAUGGCUUCCAUUCGCUCUACAGACUCCAGAUGAACUCGGUUUUCCAAUAUCAACUCUACCAAUCCCUACCCUCCAGUACCAGGACGUUCAGCAUAGCUGAAGGAUGUCACAAAAUUAUGAUGUAGUAUUCUCUAUGUUUUUCUUAAGUUGUAACUUCACUUAAGUUUCAUAGGUACUUAGCAAUUUUUGUAUACUUCUUGCUGCAAGAAUCAUGGUGACUGUUUCAAGGAUCUUACAAUUUGCUUUUGCCAUUUAGUAUAGUCUGCCUUAUGUUUUAUGUGUGUGUGUUUGUAUGUGUAUAAUUUCUGACUACAUCCUAGAGCUUGGUCCUAAGUUUUAAUAAAUUUUUACAGCCUCUAAGUCCAUAUUUAUUUAACAAAUAUUUAUUGAAUAAAUUAUAUGUGUUAGACAUGUUAUAAACAUAAAGAA